UACUGCUUGACACCAGGCUUCGAUGACAUUAGGAUACUGCUUGACACCAGGCUACGGUGACAUUAGGAUACUGCUUAUUUAUUAUUUUGCACAUUCAUCAUGAAUAGAAAAAUCCAAAUAUGUCCUUUUCAUUUUAAGUCAAUUAAAAUUUGUGGUAGAUGCCACACUUAUUCUCUUCGAUAAACAUACUCUGGUAAGGUAAGGUACUUUUGAUAAAGUACUUUUUUAGAGACCUGUGAAGGCAGAAUGUGACAGACUUUGUUAGUACAUACGGGUAGUCUUCAACACUUUCCUUUUCGUCUUUAAAACUACUCGAAAGGAGCCUCCUCGAGCAACAACUUAUGAAGGUUGGGGAUGAAAAUAUCUGACGACAAAUACUAUACACACACAUUGGUGUUUGAUAUAUUUAAGGAAUUACCAAAAGACGAGUUGCAUAUGUCUCUGGAAAUGUAACGAUUAUUAUCACGUUUUUCUGAAGUUCCAGGAAUUUUGUAGAAAGUGAUGUUACGGUGGGACCACUGUCACAGUUGUUGUAUUUGACUGUUUAAGGUCAAGAUUAAUGGCUAUUUAAUUGUUUAAAUGUGUAUAAGUGGACAUUGUGCAGGGCUGCCGUAAAUUCAUCUGUCCAUCCCUCCUGACAAAGAACUGCUUCCAUGUUGUUUAUCAGACGCUGUGCUGUCAUUCAACCUACUGCUGAACUUUAGGUUGGGUUUGUUUCUCUUUUGCAUUGAAUAAAAUGAAGCGUGUCCUCAAA
Long non-coding RNA from Oncorhynchus tshawytscha (Chinook salmon), 754 nucleotides. NCBI's taxonomy places the organism in Eukaryota, Metazoa, Chordata, Actinopteri, Salmoniformes, Salmonidae. The record is from Ensembl.